Paramuricea clavata is the source of this 408-nucleotide non-coding RNA. Lineage: Eukaryota; Metazoa; Cnidaria; Anthozoa; Malacalcyonacea; Plexauridae. The record is from the annotation of a GenBank genome assembly.
GGGUUCGUGUGUUAUUGUAUAAAAGAGCUGUAAAUUGUAAAUGUAUUCAGAUCAGUAGAGAAUAGAAUUGGGAUUAGAUUAAUUGCUGGAAGUAGUUAGCAUUGCCCAAUUUAAGUGCUACUACUAAAUUCUAACCAAUAUUCAAAUUUCGACACGUUGUAAUGCCGUUUCCUGACCAUCAGAUUUCUGUCAAAUCUUCCCCCAAAGUCCAGGAAAUGGCAUUUCAGAGACUUUAAAUUCAAAAAUUUUCCUGGGGGGCAUGCCCCCGGACCCCCCUAGACAAACCUCGCACCUGCGGCGCUCGGCUCGUGCCUUCGGCCCUCGUUUAUCAAGGGUAAUAUUAUAGGGGCGCAUAUUAGUUGCCAGCCGACUGGCCUCCCCAGAAAAAUAGUACCCAGCACGCCACUG